GUCUACGGCCAUACUACUCUGAAAAAGCUCAAUCCCAUCUGAUCCCGGAAGCUAAGCAGGGUCGGGCCUGGUUAGUACUUGGAUGGAAAACCACCCAGGAACACCAAGCGCUGUAGGCG
This 119-nucleotide ribosomal RNA is filed under the name Pteropus vampyrus (large flying fox). Lineage: Eukaryota; Metazoa; Chordata; Mammalia; Chiroptera; Pteropodidae. The record is from RNAcentral.